AUUGAACGCUGGCGGCAGGCCUAACACAUGCAAGUCGAGCGGAAGAAGGGAGCUUGCUCCCGGAUUUAGCGGCGGACGGGUGAGUAACACCUGGGAAUCUGCCUGAUAGUGGGGGAUAACGUCCGGAAACGGGCGCUAAUACCGCGUACGUCCUACGGGAGAAAGCAGGGGAUCUUCGGACCUUGCGCUAUCAGAUGAGCCCAGGUCGGAUUAGCUUGUUGGUGAGGUAAUGGCUCACCAAGGCGACGAUCCGUAACUGGUCUGAGAGGAUGAUCAGUCACACUGGAACUGAGACACGGUCCAGACUCCUACGGGAGGCAGCAGUGGGGAAUAUUGGACAAUGGGGGCAACCCUGAUCCAGCCAUGCCGCGUGUGUGAAGAAGGUCUUCGGAUUGUAAAGCACUUUAAGUUGGGAGGAAGGGCUUUAGGCUAAUACCCUGAAGUUUUGACGUUACCGACAGAAUAAGCACCGGCUAACUCUGUGCCAGCAGCCGCGGUAC
This 500-nucleotide ribosomal RNA is filed under the name uncultured bacterium. RNAcentral describes it as "bacterial SSU rRNA". It matches the Rfam family "Bacterial small subunit ribosomal RNA", at positions 30 to 523 of the family's 1533-position model. The record is from RNAcentral.